Molecule: ribosomal RNA, 136 nt
Filed under: uncultured bacterium
Lineage: Bacteria
Description: partial 16S ribosomal RNA
Rfam family: Bacterial small subunit ribosomal RNA
Source: RNAcentral
UGGGCGAAAGCCUGAUCCAGCAAUGCCGCGUGAGUGAUGAAGGCCUUAGGGUUGUAAAGCUCUUUUACCCGGGAUGAUAAUGACAGUACCGGGAGAAUAAGCCCCGGCUAACUCCGUGCCAGCAGCCGCGGUAAUA